This 76-nucleotide transfer RNA is filed under the name Alphaproteobacteria bacterium. RNAcentral's name for it is "tRNA-Ala". It matches the Rfam family "tRNA". From Rfam's summary of the family: Transfer RNA (tRNA) molecules are approximately 80 nucleotides in length. Lineage: Bacteria; Pseudomonadati; Pseudomonadota; Alphaproteobacteria. RNAcentral also lists the same sequence under 1 other name. The record is from RNAcentral.
GGGGCCGUAGCUCAGUUGGGAGAGCGCGACGUUCGCAAUGUCGAGGCCAGGGGUUCGAUUCCCCUCGGCUCCACCA